RNAcentral lists this ribosomal RNA (305 nucleotides) under uncultured bacterium. Its description in RNAcentral is "bacterial SSU rRNA". It matches the Rfam family "Bacterial small subunit ribosomal RNA", at positions 337 to 639 of the family's 1533-position model. The record is from RNAcentral.
GCCUACGGGAGGCAGCAGUGAGGAAUAUUGGUCAAUGGGCGGGAGCCUGAACCAGCCAAGUCGCGUGAAGGAAGAAGGUACUUAGUAUUGUAAACCUCUUUUGUCAGGGAGCAAUUGGCGCUACGUGUAGCGUUAUCGAGAGUACCUGAAGAAAAAGCAUCGGCUAACUCCGUGCCAGCAGCCGCGGUAAUACGGAGGAUGCGAGCGUUAUCCGGAUUUAUUGGGUUUAAAGGGUGCGUAGGCGGAAUGCCAAGUCAGCGGUAAAAUCGCGGGGCUCAACCUCGCUCCGCCGUUGAAACUGGCGU